Molecule: ribosomal RNA, 432 nt
Filed under: uncultured bacterium
Lineage: Bacteria
Description: bacterial SSU rRNA
Rfam family: Bacterial small subunit ribosomal RNA
Source: RNAcentral
AACGAACGCUGGCGGCAUGCCUAACACAUGCAAGUCGAACGAGACCUUCGGGUCUAGUGGCGCACGGGUGCGUAACGCGUGGGAACCUGCCUUUAGGUUCGGAAUAACUCAGAGAAAUUUGAGCUAAUACCGGAUGAUGUCUUCGGACCAAAGAUUUAUCGCCUUUAGAUGGGCCCGCGUUGGAUUAGCUAGUUGGUGGGUAAAGGCCUACCAAGGCGACGAUCCAUAGCUGGUCUGAGAGGAUGAUCAGCCACACUGGGACUGAGACACGGCCCAGACUCCUACGGGAGGCAGCAGUGGGGAAUAUUGGACAAUGGGCGAAAGCCUGAUCCAGCAAUGCCGCGUGAGUGAUGAAGGCCUUAGGGUUGUAAAGCUCUUUUACCCGAGAUGAUAAUGACAGUAUCGGGAGAAUAAGCUCCGGCUAACUCCGUG